AGCCCGAGAGAGUUCUGGCGAGGGCUGCGGGAAGGAAAGGGGGCGGCGUCCUUCACAGGGAGGGUGCAGCUGACCUCCCUCCCCUUGUGCAGACUGGAAAAGAAUGGCCCAGAUCCUCUGGACUCCUCAGAUGAGCGGAUUCAGAGAGAAGCUUUUGAGAGCGUGCUGGCGGAGACAUUUUUCACAAAAGAGCCCUUGCGGUGCUGGUGUCCGUGGCGUGCCUGGGUGGAAAAUGAGCUUAUAUAUGAAGAAGUCAGCGAGUGGACAAAGCCAGGCGCAAUGGAUAGCAAAGAUGUGGAAGUCUCCUCGAUUCAAGUUACAAGAAAACCGCAGCAUGGAGUCUGCUCUCAGCUGUUGGGGAAUUACCGAUGCCUUUGACUAAGUCAAGACUGACUUUUCCAGAAUAUCACCCAAGAGAUAGAGCCGUCCCUGUCCAAGUUUGUGCGCUAGCCCUUCAUGGAGGUCAGAGAGGAAGAAACAAAGGCAGCUGUGGCCUCGGCGGUCACAGUGUCAGAACGCACAAGCCCCAUAAAGAGGUUUCACGCAGGCCACCCAUCCCUUUUCAUUCUCCAGCAGAACAGGACAGAGAGCGUUCUGUUCUGCGGAAGGUCUUCCACUCUACAAGGCAAUCCCUCCAGCUGCUUUGCUGUAUUGUGCUGUCUCCUGUCACACUAUGAAUGCAGUGACCUCAGCCAGCAACAGGGAGAACCCCCCUGCCUCCCGAACAAAGGACCUCACGUGAAAUCCUGAGCUCAGAGCUUACAGAUAUGUGUGCGCUUUCACUUUACAUCGGCCGUGACUUCCAAACAACUUCAGGAAACUUUAGGAUCUCUGAGGUAUACUGGAGAUGACAGCAGCGUAGAAUGUUCAUUUGGAUUUAGAACAGAAAUGCUUAUUUUAUAUUUGGCUGCUCCCAAACUGUCCCCAGACUUCCUCUCCAGUGGUUACCCUCCACUGCCCUGGAUGUCCCACGUUUACACUCCACACUCACACCUCCACCUUAACAAAGUCCUCCACUGGGUCAAACCAUACAUCGCUUCGUCUCUGUAGUGAUGACUUCCUGUCCUCUGCUCUGUGGAUAAAGACCCCAGAUAAAGAUGCCUGUGUUGCUCAACUCUUGUAAAUACUCUUGAGACAUUUUGAAAGCAGAAGGAAAGGAGACAGACGGGGAAAAUAAAAGGGAUGGUCUGCUUGUGCGGAAACGUUUUGAGAAUGCCCUUCCCUAAGAGAGAACAGUAAAAGUGAGCAAUACUUCCUGAGCUGUGGGUUCAUAUGGCUGGACUGUGCUGUUUCUCACGGGAGAAGUUCUCGUCUCCCCUGCGUGUACAUCCCUGUUUGCCAGCCUGGCCUUCGGUGUGGUGAUAUCAUGGUGCACUCCCAGGAGGGAAGUGCUUGGUCAAGACUUCUGCUUGGGUUCGACUAUCAGUUCUGGUUUCCUUUAAGGCACAGGAUCUUCCCUUUAAGGCACAAACACCCCCUUGACACAAAGUAAGGGACAAGGGAACUUUAAACCAUUUGGAAACCCAAGCACAAUAGGCUGUAGGUUGUAAAAAGAAAUUACAAAGCCUGGACUUCGGUGUGGUGAUAUCAUGGUGCAUUCCCAGGAGGGAAGUGCUUGGUCAAGACUUCUGCUUGGGUUCGACUGUCGGUUCUGGUUUCACAUGCACUGUGUGAACACGCUUCAUACAGAGGGUCAGCACCGCACUGUGUGAACAUGCUUCAUGCAGAGAGCCUGUACUGCACCAGGUGAACACACUUCAUACAGAGAGUCAGCACCGCACCGUGUGAACAUGCUUCAUACAGAGAGUCAGCACCGCACUGUGUGAACACGCUUCAUACAGAGAGUCAGCACCGCACCGUGUGAACACACUUCAUACAGAGAGUCAGUACUGCACCGUGUGAACAUGCUUCAUACAGAAGAUCAGCACCUCACUGUGUGAACACACUUCAUACAGAAGGUCAGCAAUGCACCGUGUGAACACACUUCAUACAGAGAGUCAGCACUGCACUGUGUGAACAUGCUUCAUACAGAAGAUCAGCACCUCACUGCGUGAACAUGUGUUAUACAGAGAGUCAGCACCGCACCGCGUGAACAUCCUUCAUACAGGUCAGCACUGCACCAUGUGAACACACUUCAAACAGAGAGUCAGUACUGCACCAUGUGAACAUGCUUCAUACAGAAGAUCAGCACCUCACUCUGUGAACAUGUGUCAUACAGAAGGUCAGCACUGCACUGUGUGAACACGCUUCAUACAGAAGGUCAGCACCGCAUUGUGUGAACAUGUGUCAUACAGAGAGUCAGCACCGCACCGUGUGAACACGCUUCAUACAGAGGGUCAGCACCGCAUUGUGUGAACAUGCUUCAUACAUGAGGUCAGCACCUCAUUGUGUGAACACACUUCAUACAGAGUCAGCACUGCACUACGUGAACAUGCUUCAUACAGAGGGUCAGCACCUCACUGUGUGAACAUGUGUCAUACAGAGAGUCAGCACUGCACCGUGUGAACAUGCUUCAUACAGAGGGUCGGGUCAGCACCGCACUGUGUGAACAUGCUUCAUGCAGAGAGUCUGUCCUGCACCAGGUGAACACGCUUCAUACAGAGAGUCAGCACCGCACCGUGUGAACACGCUUCAUACAGAGGGUCAGCACCGCACUGUGUGAACACACUUCACACAGAGGGUCUGUACCACAUUCCGUCAACAUGUGUCAGCACCAUACCAUGUGAACACGCUUGGUACAGUGAUAUACAUGCAUGUGGCAGAGCUGUGAAAUUAUGACCUGCUGCAGACAGACUUUGUACACUGUGCUAUCAGCCAACUGGGCAAAUGUGGACAAGAGUCCCUGCAUGUCUCUAUUCACCAGGUGUCUGUCAAAUGAAAUGGGCUGAACUGGAUAAUGGCAGGUCUGACCCAUGAUUACUGCCUGUAAGAGCUGAGUUAUCCCAGAGUGUAGGCGUGGGAUAUUAAAAUAUAUAUAUAUGCAAAUAUAUUUGGGCUGGGUUUGGUGGGUCAUGCCUGUAAUCCAGCACUUUGGGAGGCUCAGGCAGGCGGAUAACCUGAGGCCAGGAAUUCAAGACCAGCCUGGCCAACAUGGUGAAACCCCGUCUCUACAAAAAAAUACAAAAAAUUGGCCAGGCACGGUGGCUCACGCCUAUAAUCCCAACACUUUGGGAGGCCGAGGUGGGCAGAUCACCUGAGGUCAGGAGUUUGAGACCAGGCUGGCCAACAUAUAGUGAAACCCCAACUCUACUAAAAAAAUACAAAAAUUAACUGGGAGUGGUGGCAAACGUCUGUGGUCCCAGCUACUUGGGAAGCUGAGGCAGGAGAAUCGCUCAAACCCGGGAGGUGGAGGUUGCAGUGAGCCGAGAUACCGCCACUCCACUCCAGCCUGGGUGACAGAUCAAGACUCCAUCUCUCAAAAAAACAAGAACAAAAACAAAAAACAACAACUUAGCCGGACGUGGUGGUGGGUGCCUGUAAUCUCAGCUACUCAGGAGGCUGAGGCACAAGAAUCCCUUGAACCUGGGAGGUG
Molecule: long non-coding RNA, 3532 nt
Organism: Homo sapiens (human)
Lineage: Eukaryota; Metazoa; Chordata; Mammalia; Primates; Hominidae
Gene: SERPINB9P1
Product: serpin family B member 9 pseudogene 1
Source: Ensembl